AUGGAGUUGGAUUGACAAAUAUGAAGCUGUUGAAGCCAUGUUGGAGUUCCAUUAGAGCUUAGGCUUUUAUCUUCUCUAAUGAAUAAUCUUUUUGGGAUACCAGUCUUCCUUUCCAAUUUAGCUUUAAAACAAUCUUAUUUUAGUUGUAUUACUACUCUUCUUGAGUCGAGGAUCUAUCGGAAACAUCAUUUUUAUUUUUUCGGAUGUAGUGGUAUGGACUGCGUGUAUUUUACCUUUCCCAGACCUCACUUUGUGAGAAUACACUGGCCUGUUGUUGUUUGUUGUUGUAGUAUUACUACUCUCCGUUAAAAGAGUUGUUUGGAGUUGGAUUGACAAAUAUGAAGCUGUUGAAGCCAUGUUGGAGUUCAAUUAGAGCUUAAGCUUUUAUCUUCUCUAAUGAAUAAUCUUUUUGGGACC
RNAcentral lists this long non-coding RNA (417 nucleotides) under Capsicum annuum. Its description in RNAcentral is "long non-coding RNA (CANN_LNC021827)". Lineage: Eukaryota; Viridiplantae; Streptophyta; Magnoliopsida; Solanales; Solanaceae. The record is from RNAcentral.